UUCUAUUCUAAACGACUAAUGGCUGAUGUCAGCAGUUGUUUACCGCCAACGCUUAAUCGAUUCAUCGAAUGAGAACGAAUACUAGGCAUAUCGGCGUUAGCGACUCAUCGACCCGCGGCGACAGUAGGAAUCCGUUCUUAAAACCGUCGAGUUUGCCGAAGGCAGACAUUUAUUCGCUAUUAAAUUGUGGUGAAGUGGCACUGGCGCAUCAAUAUUAUCUUACACCGUUAAAUUCGUACGCUUUAUAUAUUAUCAUCCGCUCCUUAGGAUUAGUAACAUCCAUGGGCGCAGCCAUCUGGAAACAACUCAACAGGU
This 315-nucleotide long non-coding RNA is filed under the name Androctonus crassicauda. The record is from RNAcentral. Lineage: Eukaryota; Metazoa; Arthropoda; Arachnida; Scorpiones; Buthidae.